This 4115-nucleotide long non-coding RNA is filed under the name Marmota monax (woodchuck). Lineage: Eukaryota; Metazoa; Chordata; Mammalia; Rodentia; Sciuridae. The record is from RNAcentral.
CAUCCAGGGAGGCCCCGUGCUCGUGCUCCUUUUCCUGGGUACACACUUCCGCCAGGCUCCCUCUAAAUGCGUCCAAUCUUCACGGCGUCCGAUCUCCCGUGUCGUUUCAGGGCCUGGCCUGGCCUGUCUCCUUAGCUGCCCACCCCUGACCUCCUGGCUGGUGCCUCUGGGUCAAAGCGUCUGGAAGACAGAGCUCCCCGCUGACGCCACAGGGCACCCCUCACUCCUCUCCUCACGUGCCCAGGAGCCCCAAAGGCAGCAUUAGGCCUCCCUGGCUUCCUCGGCUGUCCGCUGGGUUCUUCCCCCGCAGAUUAAGAGCUGCUUCCUCAAAUCUCAGCUGUUUUUACUGCAGGAAGAUGGUGGAAACACUUUCCAAUACUGCUGGAGAGCAGAGGGCUGAACCGCCAGCCACGCAGGCCCCGGCCCCGGCCCAGGAACAGGUAACCCUCAACCUCAAGCCCGCCCCUCCGCCCCGGGCCCCGCCCCUCCGCCCCACCCACGGCCCGCCCCCAGCUCCCAGCAAACCCUGCGCCGCCGCCGCGGUGGCAGGACUCCAGCUCCCGCCAUGCCGCGGGCCCAGGGUCCUGGAGUUCGGUAUCCCAGAAGACACCGCGCGCCUCGGGGGCCGCUCUAGCGCUCCGUCCGCCGCACUCGCCUGCGGAAAGGACGGGUCCCCCGAAGGUCCACGCGCGAUUUCCCGCUGGCUCCAGCACAGGGUUCACACCCUGUCACCCCUGGAUCUCGUCUUGAAGUACUUUGGCUGUCUUUGCGCGCUGGGGCAGGGGCUGGAGACCGAGACCCCGCCUCAGUGCUGAACGGCCUUGCCCCGGACUGGAGGCCAUGGACGCUUGCUGUAUGCCUGCACCAGUGGCGUCGCCCGAGACCAGAAUCGUGGACCGCGUGCUGGUGGUCUCCCCGCACCAGGGGUUUACAUCAGGCCUCGGGAGCUGCCUUGUGGCGCGAGGAACUGGGACCAGGUUGCCAAGGCUGGGGCCCUUUUGCUAGGGGCUGAGAUUAUGUUGCCAGGGCUGGGGUCCUGUUGCUACGGGUUGGGUCUGUUGCUAGGGACUGGGACUAUGUUGCCAGGGCUAGAAUCCCGUUGCUAGGGCCUGGGGUCAAUUACCAAGGCUGGGGUCCUCUUAUUAGGGCCUGGAUUUGCUUUGCCAAUGCGGGGGCCCUGUUGCUGGGGACUGGGAUGAUGUGGGUAAAUCUGGGUCCUGUUGCUAGAGCGCUAGGUCCUGGAGUGCCAAGGUGAGGGUUCUGUUGCUAGGGACUGGGAUUAUGAUGGUGGGGUGCUGUUAACUAAGGGCUGGAGUUGAUCUUUGCUGCUAGGGUUGGGUGAGUGCCCGGGGGGUGCAGCUGUCAAAGAACUUGAAUGCUUUCUUUAGGGUUUGGAGGGUAUUUCUGGUAACUGGCACAGUGGUGCUGGAAGGUCAGGGUCCUGUUUGACUUUUGGUUCUAAUGUCUUAGAGGCUAAGGGCAGUUGCUAGGGACAGGGGUCAUUCAUUAAUCCACAUUUAUUGAGUGCCUGCUAUAUGCCAACCAUUGUUGUAGGUUCCAGGUUACAGCAGAGCAUGUGCUGGGCAGACCCAUCCUUGAGGGAGGACCUUAGACCUUGUGUUGGCUUUCCAUUACUGUAACAGAGGCAUGAGACAAUCAGAUUCUUUUUUGUGUGUGUGUACUAGGGAUUGAACCCAGGGGUGCUUAACUGCUGAAUCACAUCUCCAGACCUUUUAAUUUUGAGAUAGGGUCUUGUUAAGUUGCUUAGGGCCUCACUAAAUUGCUGCGGCUGGUUUUGAACUCACCAUCCUCCUGCCUCAGCCUCAUGAACCGCUGGCAUUACAGGCGUGUGCCCCCACGCCCGGCUGUUUUGGGGGUCCCAUCCAUGCUAGUGGACUCUUGGGCUUUGGGCCUGUGGUCGGGCAGCACCUGCUGGUGGAGAGUGAAUGGUGGAGCAGGCUGCCCAGUUCAUGGCAGGAACAAGAGAGAGUGAGGAGGACGCUGAAGUCCCAUCCCCCAUUGGCCAAAAGACCUCCGCUAGGCCCAAAUCUUAGAGGUUCUGUCACCUCCCAGUAGUGCCAAGCUGGGCGCUAACCCUGUAAUACCCGGGCCUUUGGGGACAGCCAUGUUCCAAGCCCCAGCAGAGCCCCAGUGUCAUGAGCAGGCAGUGGUGAGCUGAGAAGGCUCAGCUGGUCCUCUGUGGCCCAAGCACAGAACCGCGGGGUGCAGUGGCAAGUUGCCAGUGCCCAUCAGCCUGGCCACUGAGCCCUGUGGAGGGCACAGCCAGCCUGCCCAGCUCCACCCCUGCAGCUGGCGUGGAAACCCAGAUUAGCCAAGGACUGCCGGGCGAAGGGAAGGACAGGGCAGGGCUGGUGACAUGGCGUGGGGCAGACCCGUGGUGGACGGGUCAUUGCCUAGGAAAGGGUGUGCACUGUGAGGGCGUAGUGAGGGGCUGGAGCUGACCCCAGAAGAGCAGAACGGCAGGAGGGCCCCAGGACGGGAGGAAGGCCUGGGUUGUGGAGGCCUUGGGCACAGCCCCGCUCAUCCCUGGGUCUUGGCACAUGAGGCCUUCCUUCCCUGGACCCCAGCGUCCUGGUUUGUGAAGUGGGGACCAUCGGUUAGGGCCUGGUGCCCAGCAGGCUGUGACAGCCAGUUGCUCUUGACCUUGCUGACAUGCCUGGGUGGUGGGGAGGAGCCCAGCAGGUUCUCUCUGUCCUCAGGGGAAGGACAGAACUCAGAGUCCACGGGAGACCCCAUUCAGAUCAUCCCUUCUGCCCCUGCCCCACUUUGCUUAAGCAAACCCCUGAAAGCCCCUUGUCUGCAGGGCUCUGAUACCCUGCCCCUCACCCCGCCUCACCCCAGGCACUGCCUCAGGGCCUUUGCAUGGGCUGUGCCCUCUGCCUGGGGCUCCCUCUUCUUUUCUGCAGUUAGAUAGCCUGAGGGCUCCUCCACUUCCUUCUCCUGGCUGCUAGACCUAAAAUCCCACCUCUGGCUCCAGAGGUGGGGGAGGGGCUGCAGCCCUCUGAUGGCUGCCAGGUGGGAGGGUGUGGAUUCUCCCUGGGGCCUCCGCAGCCACACCUGGAUCCAGCCCAGGGAGGCCCGCCAGGCUCCUCAUCCUCAGGCCCUCAAGCAAAUAAAUUGGUGUCUCUUAAAGCCACUCAGUUUGUGCCCUUUGGGACCAUAGCUGCCCCUGUGGCCACGCCCUCCAGGCCCAGGGCUUGGGGACUCCACCUCUCCACCUCUGGCGGCUCCUCCACAGGUUCAGCAACUGUGUCCCACAGCAGGAAAUGGGAGACCUGGUCCAGGCGCUUGUGUGGCCUGCUGCCUGGGCAGCUCUGUCUCCUGGCUGGGCCGCUGGGGCAGCCUGUCCAGUGGGGCUGUGCGGACCUUGGCCGCCUCCACACCUCCCUCACUGCCCCCGCAGGGCCGGGCAGUGUCUGUGGACCACGGGCUCCCGUGUGAACUGAGGAGGCCUGCCACAGUCUGGCUGGGCACAAAUGCCGCAGUCUGGCUGGGCACACAAUCACGAGCCACCACACAGCUUGUAGAUUCAAACAGCAACUCUUUAUUCCUGAACUCACACCAGCCGUCUACAAUCACGUUCUGGGGAAAUCCAACGUUCUCUGCCCAAAUCCACUCCCACUGGGCUUCUGUCUCCCAAAAUAUACUGUCUGAAUCCCGUGAGAACUCAAGGGGAACUCAGGCAGCAGGAUACGCCCUAUUCCCAGCAGGAAUAAUCUUAAACCUUAAACCUGGAACCUAAACUGGGAACGCCCUAAACACGAUUAUCUUAAAACCGGGAACACCCUAAUCUGCCUUGGUCCUUGAGCAAGGUCACCUACAUUCAAUGUCACUGCAACAUGUCAGCAACAUGGGGUACGCUGGCAAGGAAAUUGUCAUACCUACUUGGCUAAUGGCUCCCAGCAGAGGCCCCGGCUGCAGGGAGUGCAGGGCUCUGGGGAGGAAGGGCACCUCCACCCCUGGGCACCGCAGCCUGGGCCAGCAGCGGGCAGGGAGGGGACCACAGUCUGUGGGGCGCGGAGCUGGGGCCGCAGCCCCACAGCCACCUGGUGACCAUCCCACCUGCGCCCUCCUGGCACCUGUCUCUUAUACAC